AUUGAACGCUGGCGGCAUGCUUUACACAUGCAAGUCGAACGGUAACAGGUUAAGCUGACGAGUGGCGAACGGGUGAGUAAUGCAUCGGAACGCGCCCGAUCGUGGGGGAUAACGCAGCGAAAGCUGCGCUAAUACCGCAUACGAUCUGAGGAUGAAAGCGGGGGACCGUAAGGCCUCGCGCGAUCGGAGCGGCCGAUGUCAGAUUAGGUAGUUGGUGGGGUAAAGGCUCACCAAGCCAACGAUCUGUAGCUGGUCUGAGAGGACGACCAGCCACACUGGGACUGAGACACGGCCCAGACUCCUACGGGAGGCAGCAGUGGGGAGUUUUGGACAAUGGGCGAAAGCCUGAUCCAGCAAUGCCGCGUGCAGGAAGAAGGCCUUCGGGUUGUAAACUGCUUUUGUACGGAGCGAAAAGGCCCUCUCUAAUACAGUGGGCUCAUGACGGUACCGUAAGAAUAAGCACCGGCUAACUACGUGCCAGCAGCCGCCGUAA
This 493-nucleotide ribosomal RNA is filed under the name uncultured bacterium. Its description in RNAcentral is "partial 16S ribosomal RNA". It matches the Rfam family "Bacterial small subunit ribosomal RNA", at positions 29 to 523 of the family's 1533-position model. The record is from RNAcentral.